Molecule: ribosomal RNA, 606 nt
Filed under: Colletotrichum gloeosporioides
Lineage: Eukaryota; Fungi; Ascomycota; Sordariomycetes; Glomerellales; Glomerellaceae
Description: eukaryotic LSU rRNA
Rfam family: 5.8S ribosomal RNA (bases 242-395)
Source: RNAcentral
UCUUGGUCAUUUAGAGGAAGUAAAAGUCGUAACAAGGUCUCCGUUGGUGAACCAGCGGAGGGAUCAUUACUGAGUUUACGCUCUACAACCCUUUGUGAACAUACCUAUAACUGUUGCUUCGGCGGGUAGGGUCUCCGCGACCCUCCCGGCCUCCCGCCUCCGGGCGGGUCGGCGCCCGCCGGAGGAUAACCAAACUCUGAUUUAACGACGUUUCUUCUGAGUGGUACAAGCAAAUAAUCAAAACUUUUAACAACGGAUCUCUUGGUUCUGGCAUCGAUGAAGAACGCAGCGAAAUGCGAUAAGUAAUGUGAAUUGCAGAAUUCAGUGAAUCAUCGAAUCUUUGAACGCACAUUGCGCCCGCCAGCAUUCUGGCGGGCAUGCCUGUUCGAGCGUCAUUUCAACCCUCAAGCUCUGCUUGGUGUUGGGGCCCUACAGCCGAUGUAGGCCCUCAAAGGUAGUGGCGGACCCUCCCGGAGCCUCCUUUGCGUAGUAACUUUACGUCUCGCACUGGGAUCCGGAGGGACUCUUGCCGUAAAACCCCCCAAUUUUCCAAAGGUUGACCUCGGAUCAGGUAGGAAUACCCGCUGAACUUAAGCAUAUCAAUAA